Molecule: small nuclear RNA, 97 nt
Organism: Loxodonta africana (African savanna elephant)
Lineage: Eukaryota; Metazoa; Chordata; Mammalia; Proboscidea; Elephantidae
Source: Ensembl
UUAAUUUUUGCUGGCUUUAGCAGAACGGGAACAGUACAGAGAAGAUUAGCACGGCCCCUGUGCAAGGAUGACACACAAAUUCAUAAAUUUAAAUUAA